GCUACUACCCGCGCGCGGUCGCCGCCUCCCCAGGUGCAGCCCCGCCAGUCCCAGCCCCCGGCUGCGCCGGGCGAGCGGCAUCAUCAGAUUUAGGGUGACCCGGAGCGACCUCGGUCCAGGCUCGGAGGGAGAGGCGCCUCUCAGGACCUGGCAGGUUGAUUCUUCACAUGGAUCAGAAGCAACCAGCAAUGAACUCCUGAAAUCUUUGUUUACUGCCUUUGAGGAACCUUUGUACCCUUGCCGUUUCUCCAUGAGGUGUGUCCCCAGAUCACUUUCUGGAUGGCAGGCAAUGGCCGCUAGAAGUUUAGUUUGUGUUUCAUGGAAUGGAAGAAAAGAUGAGGAAUGCCUCUGGUUUAGAGAAGGAGCCACAUUAUAACAGAAGAGAACAAUGACACACAAAAAUCAGGAGUACUUCCUUCAGAAGAAAGGCAGCUGGAGCCUUUGAAAUUGACAUAGUUUUAGUCAAAAAGAAGAAAAGAAAGAUCUCCAAAAUAUACAAUUCCAUACAUGCAAGAGAAGUGAAGACAUGUGAUGAUAUUUUUCCAGCUGAAGGCCUUAGCCAAACCAAAGUCAUUUUAAUUUUUCAUAGGCUUUUACAUUUUUGAUGACAACAUCUUGGUUGAGGAAUCACAAAUGUCUGAAAAAGAAGUCGCAAGGAUGGUUGCACUGUGAAAAUCUUUGAAAAAGUCAGUAUGUUUUGA
This 701-nucleotide long non-coding RNA is filed under the name Homo sapiens (human). RNAcentral's name for it is "HSALNT0357272". The record is from RNAcentral. Lineage: Eukaryota; Metazoa; Chordata; Mammalia; Primates; Hominidae.